Salvia miltiorrhiza (redroot sage) is the source of this 1127-nucleotide RNA transcript. RefSeq lists it as uncharacterized. The transcript is spliced from 6 exons. The record is from RefSeq and is a predicted model, not a curated record. NCBI's taxonomy places the organism in Eukaryota, Viridiplantae, Streptophyta, Magnoliopsida, Lamiales, Lamiaceae.
UUAAGGUAUUUUCUUAAUUUUCUGAUGGCAAGACAUGUGAAAGUGAAGCUUCAUCUUAUUUUAUAUCUUAUGCUUUGGAAUACAUUUGAUUGAAAACAAAUGCAGGAAUGUUUCUCAAAUCCAAAUAUUGAGUUAUAUCGUGAGCAUACGUUGGAGCAUAUGAGUGUUUUGUGGGGAGCUUGGAGAUCAAAAUUGUAUGCAGAUCACGUGAAACCUUACAAAAACAAGAUCAAUGCUUUAAAAAAGGUUCCACGUGGGAUGAAUGAUAAAGAUUGGGAAUGGCUCGUAACUAACAAGUUUCUAACUAAAGAGUUUCAGGAUAUCAGUGACCGAAAUUCUAAGAAUCGAUCAAAAUCUGAUUUGUUUAUGCCUCAUCUUACUGUGAGCAGACCACAUAGAGAUAUCAUUUAUGACAAGGGAGGUAAAAAUUCUGAAAUGCCUGAUUUGGGAGUAAUUUUCUUCGAGACUCGGAGCAAAAAUGGAAAAUUUAAGGGGACAAAGGAGAAAGACAAAUAUGAUGAAAUUGUUGAAACAAUUCAAUCUAAUCCAUCUCUCAGUAACCUUGAACUUGCUGAAAAAUGUUUCGGGCCACAACAGCAUGGAAUUGUUUAUGGUUAUGGAGGUGGUGUGAAACGGAAAACAUUUCACGACUGGAAAUCUUCUUACACCAAGGAACUCGAGGAAAAACUUUCUGCAAAAGAUGAAGAAAAUCGUCUGCUUAGGAAACGAGUGGAUAGACUUGAAGAAAGGUUCGAUCAAUGGGAGAGAAGUGGUUUACCAUCAGAAUAAAGCCCACAUUUUUGCUGAAUAAAUUUCUUCAUUUGCCAUCCAAGUGUAACAGAGCAACUCUUAGACAGGUUUUACUUUUCUGCUAUCCAUUUAUGUCGUUGAAACCUUGAUCGAAGUUUGGGAAACAGGAAAAGAAAAAACGAAGUUGAGAUAGAGAUCUUCAUUCUGCUGGCUAAUAUGUAGGCUUAAUAAAUGUGUAGUUGAUUGGAAUCUGUUUAUAUUCUUGACAAGUGAUAUCUUUCAAGUUCACUUUUGUAUAUCCAACAUCUAGUUUUGUAUAUUUCAGCUAAUUGAAAGCUGCAAAAUCAAAUUGAAUAAUAAAACUUAUGUUUUGUAUA